GAUGAACGCUGGCGGCGUGCCUAAUACAUGCAAGUAGAACGCUGAAGGAGGAGCUUGCUCUUCUGGAUGAGUUGCGAACGGGUGAGUAACGCGUAGGUAACCUGCCUGGUAGCGGGGGAUAACUAUUGGAAACGAUAGCUAAUACCGCAUGACAACAGUUUUGCAUGAUAACUGUUUAAAAGGGGCAACUGCUCCACUACCAGAUGGACCUGCGUUGUAUUAGCUAGUUGGUGAGGUAACGGCUCACCAAGGCGACGAUACAUAGCCGACCUGAGAGGGUGAUCGGCCACACUGGGACUGAGACACGGCCCAGACUCCUACGGGAGGCAGCAGUAGGGAAUCUUCGGCAAUGGACGGAAGUCUGACCGAGCAACGCCGCGUGAGUGAAGAAGGUUUUCGGAUCGUAAAGCUCUGUUGUAAGAGAAGAACGAGUGUGAGAGUGGAAAGUUCACACUGUGACGGUAUCUUACCAGAAAGGGACGGCUAACUACGUG
This 494-nucleotide ribosomal RNA is filed under the name uncultured bacterium. RNAcentral describes it as "partial 16S ribosomal RNA". It matches the Rfam family "Bacterial small subunit ribosomal RNA", at positions 28 to 507 of the family's 1533-position model. The record is from RNAcentral.